GAUGAUCCUUUUUAUUACGACAAUACUGUUUUAAGCUAUAAUUAAUAAGAAAAACAAAAAUUUAUUCAAUUUCUAUAUUAAGGUAUACACGAUUACUAACAAUUACAACUUCAUGCCAUUGAGUGUCGGGCAAAUCCAAACUGAAAUCUGCUUUAUGGUAUUUUGCUUGGCUUUUUUGAGUUAUUGUUGCAAACUUGUAACCUAAAACAUAAGAGCGAUAACGAUUUAAUGCAAUCUUUGCCUUCCUCCGACUUAUAACUGGCAAUCUUAUCCGAAUCCCUACCACUAGAUACUGGCAACGAUAAUAAGGAUUUAAGCUCGCUACAAUACUUGUCCUUCUCUCAGACAUCACACUUAGUAAUCUACAUUAUUUCCUAACUAAAAACUAUUUACUAAUGCAGAUCGUUUAUAAAAUAGGCUGCUGAAAAAUACAAUCCUGUUUAAUCCUUGCACUUUAGCGAAACAACUUCGGGUUUUAUCGAAAGCUUGCUUUUGCUUCUAGACAUUUUUCUUAAUAUCAACAGAUCUCAACUUAACCCAGAUUUAACUUCUUGUGUUUCACAUUCCNACAUACUUUAACAAAGUCU
RNAcentral lists this unclassified non-coding RNA (587 nucleotides) under Borreliella burgdorferi (Lyme disease spirochete). Its description in RNAcentral is "partial may contain 16S ribosomal RNA and 16S-23S ribosomal RNA intergenic spacer". Lineage: Bacteria; Pseudomonadati; Spirochaetota; Spirochaetia; Spirochaetales; Borreliaceae. The record is from RNAcentral.